UAGUUGGUAAGGUAACGGCUUACCAAGGCGACGAUCAGUAGCCGACCUGAGAGGGUGAUCGGCCACAUUGGAACUGAGACACGGUCCAAACUCCUACGGGAGGCAGCAGUGGGGAAUAUUGCACAAUGGGCGAAAGCCUGAUGCAGCAACGCCGCGUGAGUGAUGAAGGCCUUCGGGUCGUAAAACUCUGUCCUCAAGGAAGAUAAUGACGGUACUUGAGGAGGAAGCCCCGGCUAACUACGUGCCAGCAGCCGCGGUAAUACGUAGGGGGCUAGCGUUAUCCGGAUUUACUGGGCGUAAAGGGUGCGUAGGCGGUCUUUCAAGUCAGGAGUGAAAGGCUACGGCUCAACCGUAGUAAGCUCUUGAAACUGGGAGACUUGAGUGCAGGAGAGGAGAGUGGAAUUCCUAGUGUAGCGGUGAAAUGCGUAGAUAUUAGGAGGAACACCAGUUGCGAAGGCGGCUCUCUGGACUGUAACUGACGCUGAGGCACGAAAGCGUGGGGAGCAAACAGGAGUAGAUACCCUGGUAGUCCACGCUGUAAACGAUGAGUACUAGGUGUCGGGGGUUACCCCC
This 573-nucleotide ribosomal RNA is filed under the name Clostridioides difficile. Its description in RNAcentral is "bacterial SSU rRNA". It matches the Rfam family "Bacterial small subunit ribosomal RNA", at positions 246 to 841 of the family's 1533-position model. Lineage: Bacteria; Bacillati; Bacillota; Clostridia; Peptostreptococcales; Peptostreptococcaceae. The record is from RNAcentral.